UACAGAGGGGGCAAGCGUUGUUCGGAAUUACUGGGCGUAAAGGGCGCGUAGGCGGCUCGCUAAGUCGGAUGUGAAAACUCUGGGCUCAACCCAGAGCCUGCAUUCGAAACUGACGAGCUAGAGUUCUGGAGGGGAAAGCGGAAUUCCUGGUGUAGCGGUGAAAUGCGUAGAUAUCAGGAGGAACACCGGUGGCGAAGGCGGCUUUCUGGACAGAAACUGACGCUGAGGCGCGAAAGCUAGGGGAGCAAACAGG
This 253-nucleotide ribosomal RNA is filed under the name uncultured bacterium. RNAcentral's name for it is "partial 16S ribosomal RNA". It matches the Rfam family "Bacterial small subunit ribosomal RNA", at positions 524 to 776 of the family's 1533-position model. The record is from RNAcentral.